This is a long non-coding RNA of Daphnia carinata, 752 nucleotides long. RefSeq lists it as uncharacterized. Lineage: Eukaryota; Metazoa; Arthropoda; Branchiopoda; Diplostraca; Daphniidae. The record is from RefSeq and is a predicted model, not a curated record. The transcript is spliced from 4 exons.
AGCGUGGAUGGAGAAUAACGCGUGGCUGGAGGAACAAAUGAAAAAUGGAUAAGAUAAUACAACAAAAGGAUGAUCAAAUUAUGAAGCUGCAGGCCCAAUUAUUGGAACAACACAAAAUAUUAGAUAACAGCAAAGCUAAGGAUGCUCAAAUUUUGAGUCUACAAGCUCAGCUAGGGGGAAAAAACAAAUUGGAACGGAACAGUUUCCAAACAGUGAAAGAGGUUUUUCAAAACUCUUCCCUAACUGAACAUUAGGAUGAGUUGGCAUUAGGCGAACACAGGCAGUUAUUCAGUCCACCACCUGACAGUGUGUUAAAUUUAAAUUCUGCUAGUGCUGCACUAAAAGAAUCGUCAGUAAUAAGUCCAUGCAGCGAAGGAAUUGAACAAUUGUGGGACCGUAUUUGGGCCGAAAUUUGGGUGUGGUACUGAAACCGAGAUAUGGCACAAGUUAAACAUAAAACAUGGAUUAGGUUCUUUUCGGUUUUUUGUCUAUCGAAAAAGUUUUUUUAAUGCUAUUAUUUUGUAUUCACAGAAUUUUAGCAGGGGAUCAAGUCAAGUCUGGAAGUGUUACAGGAUGGAAGAGUCAGCCUACAGUUGAAAAACACUGAAAGUGCAUUACCAUUAAGGUAUGAGCUGCUUCUCUUGCUAAAGAACAACUUGUCCUUUACGUUCAGAGUGUUGGUGAAGCUGGGUACUUCUAUCUACCCAAAAAAAUUUAUCCAAUAGGAAAGGAUUUUCAUGUACUGGGAACAC